CCUACGUGAGGCAGCAGUAGGGAAUAUUGCUCAAUGGGGGAAACCCUGAUGGUGCGACGCCGCGUGGGGGAAUGAAGGUCUUCGGAUUGUAAACCCCUGUCACGUGGGCGCAAAUUAAAAAGAUAGUACCACAAGAGGAAGAGACGUCUAACUCUGGGCCAGCAGCCGCGGUAAUACAGAGGUCUCAAGCGUUGUUCGGAAUCACUGGGCGUAAAGCGUGCGUAGGCUGUUUCGUAAGUCGUGUGUGAAAGGCGCGGGCUCAACCCGCGGACGGCACAUGAUACUGCGAGACUAGAGUAAUGGAGGGGGAACCGGAAUUCUCGGUGUAGCAGUGAAAUGCGUAGAUAUCGAGAGGAACACUCGUGGCGAAGGCGGGUUCCUGGACAUUAACUGACGCUGAGGCACGAAGGCCAGGGGAGCGAAAGGGAUUAGAUACCCCAGUAGUC
RNAcentral lists this ribosomal RNA (446 nucleotides) under uncultured bacterium. Its description in RNAcentral is "partial 16S ribosomal RNA". It matches the Rfam family "Bacterial small subunit ribosomal RNA", at positions 338 to 795 of the family's 1533-position model. The record is from RNAcentral.